RNAcentral lists this ribosomal RNA (407 nucleotides) under uncultured bacterium. RNAcentral describes it as "bacterial SSU rRNA". It matches the Rfam family "Bacterial small subunit ribosomal RNA", at positions 355 to 776 of the family's 1533-position model. The record is from RNAcentral.
UUAGGAAUUUUGCGCAAUGGGGGAAACCCUGACGCAGCAACGCCGCGUGAGUGAUGAAGGCCUUCGGGUUGUAAAGCUCUUUUGGUAGGGACGAAAAAAAUGACGGUACCUACCGAAUAAGCACCGGCUAACUCUGUGCCAGCAGCCGCGGUAAUACAGAGGGUGCAAGCGUUAUUCGGAAUUAUUGGGCGUAAAGAGCACGUAGGCGGUUAUGUAAGUCUAAUGUGAAAGCCCUGGACUCAAUCCAGGAAGUGCAUCGGAUACUACAUGACUGGAGGAGAGGAGAGGAGAGCGGAAUUCCUGGUGUAGAGGUGAAAUUCGUAGAUAUCAGGAGGAACAACAGAAGCGAAGGCGGCUCUCUGGACUCUAUCUGACGCUGAGGUGCGAAAGCGUGGGGAGCAAACAGG